AAAACAUGUCUUUUUGUAAAUAAUAUAAAGUCUAAUCUGCCCACUGAUAAUUUAUUGAAGGGCUGCAGUAUAUUGACUGUACAAAGGUAGCAUAAUCAUUAGUCAUUUAAUUGAUGACUUGUAUGAAAGAUUGGAUGAGAUAUAUACUGUCUCUUAAUUAAUUAUAAAAUUUAAUUUUUUUAUUAAAAAGUUAAAAUAUUUUAAAAAGACGAGAAGACCCUAUAGAGUUUAAUAAAUAAAUAAAUUGAUUUUAUUUUGUAAAAUAAUAUUGAAAUUUUAUAAUUUAUUUUGUUGGGGUGAUAAAAAAAUAAAUAAAACUUUUUUUA
Molecule: ribosomal RNA, 326 nt
Filed under: Acrapex mediopuncta
Lineage: Eukaryota; Metazoa; Arthropoda; Insecta; Lepidoptera; Noctuidae
Description: partial 16S ribosomal RNA
Rfam family: Archaeal large subunit ribosomal RNA (bases 1-153)
Source: RNAcentral